GUUAUCUUGAUGGGCCAGCUGCAUGUCAGCCUCAGAAAAUGGUCUCCAGUCCCAUCUAGACCCACACCUCCGUGAUGCCACCAUACUUCCAAAUCACUUAAUGACUUGCGGUCCACAGAGCUCUGGGCACUGCUGUCCUCACUCACGUAACUUUUUACCAAGGCGGUCUCUAAGCCAGCACGCUAAAACCAUGGAGAUAGGAGUCCAUUUCAUAUAGCAGGAUUAUCGUGUCCUGUGGUUGUAAACGGUGUGAGCGAGUGUGUCUACACAUAGCCGUAGCACAGUUCAGGGGCAAAUUCCAUUAAGUGUGUUUUUAAGAAGUCAACCAAUGCUAUGGCAGGCAUUCGUUACCAGAAUGGAAAUUUAGCCUGCAAUUGUUCCUGGCAGACCUUCUGGGUCCCCUCCAGGAGCUCACAUGUGCCUUCAAACAAAAUGUCACCCACCGAGGUGGCAGCGUCCUUGCUCUGUCUGUUGAUCACGACUCCCCGUGUGACUUGUCUCUUCCCUAAUGCGUCUAAGUACCUGGUACUUUCCUAUGCAGGAAGCUUAUAUGAACUAAUUAACAUUUAAUGAGAGGAAACCAGCUGAUUAGAAUGCUUUCCGUGGUACUUUAGCUAAUAAAUGUUGUAUACCCUUUUGACGCAUCCCUCAACACGGGGGUCCCCCUCC
Molecule: long non-coding RNA, 669 nt
Filed under: Marmota monax (woodchuck)
Lineage: Eukaryota; Metazoa; Chordata; Mammalia; Rodentia; Sciuridae
Source: RNAcentral